Nycticebus coucang (slow loris) is the source of this 133-nucleotide small nucleolar RNA. RefSeq annotates it as small nucleolar RNA SNORA70. The record is from RefSeq and is a predicted model, not a curated record. Lineage: Eukaryota; Metazoa; Chordata; Mammalia; Primates; Lorisidae. The transcript has a single exon.
CUGCAGCUAUUAAGUAGACCAUGCUCCUUUCCUCACGGGGACCUAUGUGCAAUGGCUGCAAACAGCAGCCUCCUUGGUAGUGUAUGCAGCCUACUGCUUAUAUGGGUUGGUCUGAGGGAACUUUGAGACAUUC